UUAUGCAGCAACAACAAAACAACCAAUACAGCAGAGAAUAAAUACCCGACCUCUCACCCCCAAAAAGUUUAUAUUGAAAUCUCAAAUAAGAAGUUUAUACUGACUUGUGUAAAAGCAAACAAGAUCAGCUGCUAUGAAAUUUAGCAAGAUAGAUGACUAUAUACUUGCAAGGAAAUCCAUUUUGUGGGGCGACUAUAACAAGCCAUACAUUACAUAUUGGGUGUAAGACGCGACACACAUAAAUCCCAUUUGAUCAGCAUCUUCACUAAAAUAGCAUUGUGAACUCCAACCAGGUAACCAAACUAAUCUAACGAGAACCAGUGCUAGAACUUGAUGAGCGGAAAGGCCAUAGGAACGAGAACGGAUUCCUUCUCCUCUGACGCCCACUGGUUCUUCCACUGCUACUUGAGCUGCUUGAACUGUCAUUUUGGUUGGUUGAUCUUGAGCGUGAGCAGCUAGCACCACUAGAGCUCUGUGUUGGCAGCUCAUAUCGGCACACAGGGCAGGAAUUGUGUUGUUCUAGCCAAGGAAGUAUGCAAUCAGAGUGGUAUAAAUGCUUGCAUGGCAUCUCUCUUGCUUCUGAUCCCAGUUCAAACUUGUCCUUGCAGACAGGGCAAUGCGAGUCUCCAGUGAGAUGCCUGGCAGUGAUCCUAACACUAGGCAUGGCAUCAAUAGAUGACUGAGAGGCAGGUGGUGGCCCUCGACGAUCAUUAUGAGUCAACUGCUCAAUCAGAUCUUCUAAUCCAGGC
RNAcentral lists this long non-coding RNA (749 nucleotides) under Triticum aestivum (bread wheat). RNAcentral describes it as "long non-coding RNA (TAES_LNC026289)". Lineage: Eukaryota; Viridiplantae; Streptophyta; Magnoliopsida; Poales; Poaceae. The record is from RNAcentral.